GCCUGGGUAGCUCAAUCGGUAGAGCGUGUGACUCUUAAUCUCAAGGUCGUGGGUUCGAGCCCCACCUCGGGCU
Transfer RNA from Pseudogymnoascus sp. 23342-1-I1, 73 nucleotides. It matches the Rfam family "tRNA". From Rfam's summary of the family: Transfer RNA (tRNA) molecules are approximately 80 nucleotides in length. Their secondary structure includes four short double-helical elements and three loops (D, anti-codon, and T loops). Further hydrogen bonds mediate the characteristic L-shaped molecular structure. tRNAs have two regions of fundamental functional importance: the anti-codon, which is responsible for specific mRNA codon recognition, and the 3' end, to which the tRNAs corresponding amino acid is attached (by aminoacyl-tRNA synthetases). tRNAs cope with the degeneracy of the genetic code in two manners: having more than one tRNA (with a specific anti-codon) for a particular amino acid; and 'wobble' base-pairing, i.e. permitting non-standard base-pairing at the 3rd anti-codon position. The record is from Rfam. Lineage: Eukaryota; Fungi; Ascomycota; Leotiomycetes; Thelebolales; Thelebolaceae.